GUGCACGCUGGCGGUAGGCCUAACACAUGCAAGUCGAACGGCAGCACAGUAAGAGCUUGCUCUUACGGGUGGCGAGUGGCGGACGGGUGAGGAAUACAUCGGAAUCUACUUUUUCGUGGGGGAUAACGUAGGGAAACUUACGCUAAUACCGCAUACGACCUACGGGUGAAAGCAGGGGAUCUUCGGACCUUGCGCGAUUGAAUGAGCCGAUGUCGGAUUAGCUAGUUGGCGGGGUAAAGGCCCACCAAGGCGACGAUCCGUAGCUGGUCUGAGAGGAUGAUCAGCCACACUGGAACUGAGACACGGUCCAGACUCCUACGGGAGGCAGCAGUGGGGAAUAUUGGACAAUGGGCGCAAGCCUGAUCCAGCCACACCGCGUGGGUGAAGAAGGCCUUCGGGUUGUAAAGCCCUUUUGUUGGGAAAGAAAAGCAGCAGGUUAAUACCCCGCUGUUCUGACGGUACCCAAAGAAUAAGCACCGGCUAACUUCGUG
This 491-nucleotide ribosomal RNA is filed under the name uncultured bacterium. RNAcentral describes it as "partial 16S ribosomal RNA". It matches the Rfam family "Bacterial small subunit ribosomal RNA", at positions 29 to 507 of the family's 1533-position model. The record is from RNAcentral.